UGGUUCGUAAAGGUAUGAAACGCUCGUACUGUGAAACUGCGAAUGGCUCAUUAAAUCAUGUUUAUAGUUUAUUUGAUGGUCGUUUUGCUACAUGGAUAACUGUGGUAAUUCUAGAGCUAAUACAUGCACAAGGUCCCGACUUUUGGAAGGGACGUAUUUAUUAGAUCCAAAACCAGCGCGGGGCUCCUUGUGGGUCCCGGUCCCUGGGCGAUUCAUGAUAACUGUUCGAAUCGCACGGCCUUGGCGCCGGCGAUGGUCCAUUCAAAUUUCUGCCCUAUCAACUUUCGAUGGUACGGUAGUGGCCUACCAUGGUUGCAACGGGUGACGGAGAAUUAGGGUUCGAUUCCGGAGAGGGAGCCUGAGAAACGGCUACCACAUCCAAGGAAGGCAGCAGGCGCGCAAAUUACCCAAUCCCGACUCGGGGAGGUAGUGACAAUAAAUAACAAUGCUGGGCUCUUGUAGUCUGGCAAUUGGAAUGAGUCCAAUCUAAACCCCUUAACGAGGAACAAUUGGAGGGCAAGUCUGGUGCCAGCAGCCGCGGUAAUUCCAGCUCCAAUAGCGUAUAUUAAAGUUGUUGCAGUUAAAAAGCUCGUAGUUGGAUUUCGGGGCAGCCCGGCCGGUCCGCCGCGAGGCGAGUACUGGUCGGGCGCUCUUCCUCUCGAAGGCUUCGGCUGCUCUUGAUUGUAGUGGUCGAGGAGUUCGGGACGUUUACUUUGAAAAAAUUAGAGUGUUCAAGGCAGGCCGUCGCCUGAAUACAUUAGCAUGGAAUAAUGGAAGAGGACCUCGGUCCUAUUUUGUUGGUUUCUAGGGCCGAAGUAAUGAUCAAGAGGGACAGUUGGGGGCAUUCGUAUUUAAUUGUCAGAGGUGAAAUUCUCGGAUUUAUGAAAGACGAACAAGUGCGAAAGCAUUUGCCAAGGAUGUUUUCAUUAAUCAAGAACGAAAGUUGGGGGUUCGAAGACGAUCAGAUACCGUCGUAGUCCCAACCAUAAACUAUGCCGACUAGGGAUCGGCGGAUGUUAGCAUCUGACUCCGUCGGCACCUUGCGAGAAAUCAAGAGUGC
This 1060-nucleotide ribosomal RNA is filed under the name Tetilla dactyloidea. Its description in RNAcentral is "SSU rRNA". It matches the Rfam family "Eukaryotic small subunit ribosomal RNA", at positions 52 to 1106 of the family's 1831-position model. The record is from RNAcentral. Lineage: Eukaryota; Metazoa; Porifera; Demospongiae; Tetractinellida; Tetillidae.